Molecule: transfer RNA, 72 nt
Filed under: Ovis aries (sheep)
Lineage: Eukaryota; Metazoa; Chordata; Mammalia; Artiodactyla; Bovidae
Rfam family: tRNA
About the family: Transfer RNA (tRNA) molecules are approximately 80 nucleotides in length.
Source: Rfam by way of RNAcentral
UCCUUGUGGUCCAGUGGCUAAGACUCUGUGCUCCCAGUGCAGUUGGCCCAGGUUCAAUCCCUGGUCAAGGAA